ACGCUCGACACCUACAGGAGGCAGCAGUGGGGAAUAUUGCACAAUGGGGGAAACCCUGAUGCAGCGACGCCGCGUGAGCGAAGAAGUAUCUCGGUAUGUAAAGCUCUAUCAGCAGGGAAGAAGAUGACGGUACCUGACUAAGAAGCACCGGCUAAAUACGUGCCAGCAGGCCGCGGUAAUCUGAGCGGGCUGGCAAGGC
This 199-nucleotide ribosomal RNA is filed under the name uncultured bacterium. RNAcentral's name for it is "partial 16S ribosomal RNA". It matches the Rfam family "Bacterial small subunit ribosomal RNA", at positions 328 to 539 of the family's 1533-position model. The record is from RNAcentral.